Molecule: ribosomal RNA, 253 nt
Filed under: uncultured bacterium
Lineage: Bacteria
Description: partial 16S ribosomal RNA
Rfam family: Bacterial small subunit ribosomal RNA
Source: RNAcentral
UACGAAGGGGGCUAGCGUUGCUCGGAAUCACUGGGCGUAAAGCGUGCGCAGGCGGUGAUGUAAGACAGGUGUGAAAUCCCCGGGCUUAACCUGGGAACUGCAUUUGUGACUGCAUCGCUGGAGUGCGGCAGAGGGGGAUGGAAUUCCGCGUGUAGCAGUGAAAUGCGUAGAUAUGCGGAGGAACACCGAUGGCGAAGGCAAUCCCCUGGGCCUGCACUGACGCUCAUGCACGAAAGCGUGGGGAGCAAACAGG